Dermacentor silvarum is the source of this 2083-nucleotide long non-coding RNA. RefSeq lists it as uncharacterized. The record is from RefSeq and is a predicted model, not a curated record. Lineage: Eukaryota; Metazoa; Arthropoda; Arachnida; Ixodida; Ixodidae. The transcript has 3 exons.
AUUCUUAUAUGUGCCACUCUGCUGCAUUUGGGCACAAUCAUAUGGGUGAAAGUUGUAUACCAUGAACUAGGUGUGUUUUUGGUAGAGUAUAACGAUCGCUCUUUUCUCUUUUAGGUGCAUUCUCUUCCCUAGGUCCAAUGCCGCUGAGCAACUUUCCAUUUCGCCAUCAUGGUGUGCGGCGGCCCCACCACGCUAGGCUCGAUCAGCCAAUUGAUGCCGUUGUCUAUGUCAGCGUGGUGUUCGUUCUGUUCGCGGCCAUCAUCCUGCUCCUGGUGGCCACCACUUGCCGUCGCUUUCAACCGGGCGGAAUGUCGAACCCGCCAGAAGAGCCGCCAGAAAAUAACAGCGAACCUCGGACGACGAUUGUCAGGCUGAAGGACCACGGCACUCGUGUGUGCACCGAGACGCUGCCGACGAGGAACACUGUGUAGAAGGUAGCAAUAACAGCCUCCCGUGAAGGAAAGUACUGACACCGACGUUAUCACCUUACGUGUGCUGACCGCAGGACUUCGAGACUACGCCUGUUGUCCUGAGCUACCCGUUCUUACUAGUGCCUUGUGGAACACAGACAUGCCUGUGGUAAAUGAGCUCACAUGGAUGGACAAGUGUUCACGCUGCCCUGUGCAUCAUAUCAUUUAAAUGGGGCCUAAGUGUACUCACAGUAUUGGUGCUGCUUCCCUGCUGCCAUCGCUGCGUUCAGCACUCGCCCCACUGGGCCGUCUCACUUCUGGUGUCGUCUUCAACACGUGUUGUGGAAAUUUGUGAGGUCCUCGCAGGAAAGCCUGAUUAUUACAACGCCAACAAUGCAUAUCAUUCACAGGAAUUUUGCGGGUGCAAGUUGAAAUCAGCUAGCGCAAGGCAGAGGUAAUAGAUCACUGGGAGAGGCCUUCAUACGUCAGUGGCCAUUAAAAUAGGCUGAUGAUGAAAAAUGAUGAUAAUGACAAUAAUUAUAAUUAAUGCAUAUCACAAUGCCCAGAAAUCCAGAAGUAACGAGUGUUAGUCAGUCGCAACUCCAUAUGAUAGCAGAGCUGCCAAAAUUAUUACACCAUUAUUCACAGUCAAAAUAUUGUUUUAUAAAAUUUUAGCUCGACACUGCUUUAAAAGGGCAGUAUAACCUCGUAAGUCUUGAAGAAAAUUAUAGAACGAUAAACUUUAUAGCGAUGACGAGGAACGUUACUAAAACUUUAAUUAGUAAUUGGCAGUGAAAUAGUAACACAGCACUAAAUGCUCUCAGUAUUGUUCACAUAAAAUCAGGGAGACGUUGUAAUGAGUUAUUAGGUCAGUUAAUUCAGCAGGCUGAUGCUACAAGUGACGUCACUGUCGUGGUCCUGCACUAUAGCAAUAGCUCAAUUUACAACUGCAGUCAGUUGGCGUUCUCUGUAUAAAUGCUGAGUAGUUGGUUUAUAUACAUAUAUAUAUAUAUAUAUAUAUAUGGGUUGACAUUGAUGAGCUUAUUUGUGGUGACAGGGUCCUUGCUGGUCUGGCUCCUGUCUUUUGAAAAGAACAUUUAGAACGUGUAGUGCGAACAGACUACACGAACACUAUAUGGAAGGCAGGAAUGUGAAAAACGGUGACCGAAAGCAUGCAGUACUUAAGGGGAUUACUUUGCUCACAUCAUUCUGUUCCGUAGGCGGAAUCUUUAUUGCGAAAUGUUGAUAAUGCUGUAAAAGAGAAAUAAGUCGCGGAUUUCCAACAGUUAUUGCUGACACGAUCUAACGGUUAUGCGUGCUCAACAACAGUUUAAGAUUACCGGUGGCCGAAGCUACACUACAAAUCACAUAUAGUGAACUCAAACCUUUAUUUAAAAGAAACAGACAGCUUGGAAUAACGGGUGUAAUAACUUAGAUGAGGCCUGCUUGUUCACAUACGCACCACGAAAAUGGAAGGACCAUGCCCACCACCGCCACUCAAGUACACUUGCCGACUUGCGAGAAAUGUGCAGUGUGCACGCAUUCCUGUCUUUACACUUAUAGAGAAUCCGCAAUGUUAAGUUUACAUCAUAUAUUUAGCAAACAAUUCGAAUGCAUGGGGACUGGACUACUCGGAAGUUCCAAGAUAUCACAGUCAUGCAUUGUUAUGCGCG